Molecule: ribosomal RNA, 480 nt
Filed under: uncultured bacterium
Lineage: Bacteria
Description: partial 16S ribosomal RNA
Rfam family: Bacterial small subunit ribosomal RNA
Source: RNAcentral
GACGAACGCUGGCGGCGUGCCUAACACAUGCAAGUCGAGCGAAUGAAGUUCCUUCGGGAAUGGAUUUAGCGGCGGACGGGUGAGUAACACGUGGGUAACCUGCCUCAUAGAGGGGAAUAGCCUUCCGAAAGGGAGAUUAAUACCGCAUAAGAUUGUAGUACCGCAUGGUACAGCAAUUAAAGGAGCAAUCCGCUAUGAGAUGGGCCCGCGGCGCAUUAGCUAGUUGGUGAGGUAACGGCUCACCAAGGCGACGAUGCGUAGCCGACCUGAGAGGGUGAUCGGCCACAUUGGGACUGAGACACGGCCCAGACUCCUACGGGAGGCAGCAGUGGGGAAUAUUGCACAAUGGGGGAAACCCUGAUGCAGCAACGCCGCGUGAGUGAUGACGGCCUUCGGGUUGUAAAGCUCUGUCUUCAGGGACGAUAAUGACGGUACCUGAGGAGGAAGCCACGGCUAACUACGUGCCAGCCGCCGCAGUAA